GCUUUGAGGGUUAAUGGUAAAACACCCAACCGGCAAUUGGGGGAUCUGGGUUCAAGUCCCGGUUCGGGCU
Non-coding RNA from Strigamia maritima, 70 nucleotides. The record is from Rfam. NCBI's taxonomy places the organism in Eukaryota, Metazoa, Arthropoda, Chilopoda, Geophilomorpha, Linotaeniidae.